CCUACGGGUGGCUGCAGUGGGGAAUAUUGGACAAUGGGCGAAAGCCUGAUCCAGCCAUGCCGCGUGUGUGAAGAAGGCCUUCGGGUUGUAAAGCACUUUCAGUGGGGAAGAAAGCCUUGGGGCUAAUACCCUCGAGGAAGGACAUCACCCACAGAAGAAGCACCGGCUAACUCCGUGCCAGCAGCCGCGGUAAUACGGUGGGUGCGAGCGUUAAUCGGAAUUACUGGGCGUAAAGCGCGCGUAGGCGGUCUGAUAAGCCGGUUGUGAAAGCCCCGGGCUCAACCUGGGAACGGCAUCCGGAACUGUCAGGCUAGAGUGCAGGAGAGGAAGGUAGAAUUCCCGGUGUAGCGGUGAAAUGCGUAGAGAUCGGGAGGAAUACCAGUGGCGAAGGCGGCCUUCUGGACUGACACUGACGCUGAGGUGCGAAAGCGUGGGUAGCAAACAGGAUUAGAUACCCUAGUAGUC
Molecule: ribosomal RNA, 465 nt
Filed under: Vreelandella stevensii
Lineage: Bacteria; Pseudomonadati; Pseudomonadota; Gammaproteobacteria; Oceanospirillales; Halomonadaceae
Description: partial 16S ribosomal RNA
Rfam family: Bacterial small subunit ribosomal RNA
Source: RNAcentral